UACAGAGGUCCCAAGCGUUGUUCGGAUUCACUGGGCGUAAAGGGUGCGUAGGUGGCGAGGUAAGUCGGAUGUGAAAGCUCGGAGCUCAACUCCGAAAUGGCAUUGGAAACUACCUGGCUUGAGGGCUGGAAGGGGGACUGGAAUUCUCGGUGUAGCAGUGAAAUGCGUAGAUAUCGAGAGGAACACCAGUGGCGAAGGCGAGUCCCUGGACAAUACCUGACACUGAGGCACGAAAGCUAGGGGAGCAAACAGG
This 253-nucleotide ribosomal RNA is filed under the name uncultured bacterium. RNAcentral describes it as "partial 16S ribosomal RNA". It matches the Rfam family "Bacterial small subunit ribosomal RNA", at positions 524 to 776 of the family's 1533-position model. The record is from RNAcentral.